This 2877-nucleotide ribosomal RNA is filed under the name Escherichia coli. RNAcentral's name for it is "23S ribosomal RNA". It matches the Rfam family "Bacterial large subunit ribosomal RNA". Lineage: Bacteria; Pseudomonadati; Pseudomonadota; Gammaproteobacteria; Enterobacterales; Enterobacteriaceae. The record is from RNAcentral.
UUAAGCGACUAAGCGUACACGGUGGAUGCCCUGGCAGUCAGAGGCGAUGAAGGACGUGCUAAUCUGCGAUAAGCGUCGGUAAGGUGAUAUGAACCGUUAUAACCGGCGAUUUCCGAAUGGGGAAACCCAGUGUGUUUCGACACACUAUCAUUAACUGAAUCCAUAGGUUAAUGAGGCGAACCGGGGGAACUGAAACAUCUAAGUACCCCGAGGAAAAGAAAUCAACCGAGAUUCCCCCAGUAGCGGCGAGCGAACGGGGAGCAGCCCAGAGCCUGAAUCAGUGUGUGUGUUAGUGGAAGCGUCUGGAAAGGCGCGCGAUACAGGGUGACAGCCCCGUACACAAAAAUGCACAUGCUGUGAGCUCGAUGAGUAGGGCGGGACACGUGGUAUCCUGUCUGAAUAUGGGGGGACCAUCCUCCAAGGCUAAAUACUCCUGACUGACCGAUAGUGAACCAGUACCGUGAGGGAAAGGCGAAAAGAACCCCGGCGAGGGGAGUGAAAAAGAACCUGAAACCGUGUACGUACAAGCAGUGGGAGCACNGUGUGACUGCGUACCUUUUGUAUAAUGGGUCAGCGACUUAUAUUCUGUAGCAAGGUUAACCGAAUAGGGGAGCCGAAGGGAAACCGAGUCUUAACUGGGCGUUAAGUUGCAGGGUAUAGACCCGAAACCCGGUGAUCUAGCCAUGGGCAGGUUGAAGGUUGGGUAACACUAACUGGAGGACCGAACCGACUAAUGUUGAAAAAUUAGCGGAUGACUUGUGGCUGGGGGUGAAAGGCCAAUCAAACCGGGAGAUAGCUGGUUCUCCCCGAAAGCUAUUUAGGUAGCGCCUCGUGAAUUCAUCUCCGGGGGUAGAGCACUGUUUCGGCAAGGGGGUCAUCCCGACUUACCAACCCGAUGCAAACUGCGAAUACCGGAGAAUGUUAUCACGGGAGACACACGGCGGGUGCUAACGUCCGUCGUGAAGAGGGAAACAACCCAGACCGCCAGCUAAGGUCCCAAAGUCAUGGUUAAGUGGGAAACGAUGUGGGAAGGCCCAGACAGCCAGGAUGUUGGCUUAGAAGCAGCCAUCAUUUAAAGAAAGCGUAAUAGCUCACUGGUCGAGUCGGCCUGCGCGGAAGAUGUAACGGGGCUAAACCAUGCACCGAAGCUGCGGCAGCGACGCUUAUGCGUUGUUGGGUAGGGGAGCGUUCUGUAAGCCUGNAUGCUGGAGGUAUCAGAAGUGCGAAUGCUGACAUAAGUAACGAUAAAGCGGGUGAAAAGCCCGCUCGCCGGAAGACCAAGGGUUCCUGUCCAACGUUAAUCGGGGCAGGGUGAGUCGACCCCUAAGGCGAGGCCGAAAGGCGUAGUCGAUGGGAAACAGGUUAAUAUUCCUGUACUUGGUGUUACUGCGAAGGGGGGACGGAGAAGGCUAUGUUGGCCGGGCGACGGUUGUCCCGGUUUAAGCGUGUAGGCUGGUUUUCCAGGCAAAUCCGGAAAAUCAAGGCUGAGGCGUGAUGACGAGGCACUACGGUGCUGAAGCAACAAAUGCCCUGCUUCCAGGAAAAGCCUCUAAGCAUCAGGUAACAUCAAAUCGUACCCCAAACCGACACAGGUGGUCAGGUAGAGAAUACCAAGGCGCUUGAGAGAACUCGGGUGAAGGAACUAGGCAAAAUGGUGCCGUAACUUCGGGAGAAGGCACGCUGAUAUGUAGGUGAAGUCCCUCGCGGAUGGAGCUGAAAUCAGUCGAAGAUACCAGCUGGCUGCAACUGUUUAUUAAAAACACAGCACUGUGCAAACACGAAAGUGGACGUAUACGGUGUGACGCCUGCCCGGUGCCGGAAGGUUAAUUGAUGGGGUCAGCGCAAGCGAAGCUCUUGAUCGAAGCCCCGGUAAACGGCGGCCGUAACUAUAACGGUCCUAAGGUAGCGAAAUUCCUUGUCGGGUAAGUUCCGACCUGCACGAAUGGCGUAAUGAUGGCCAGGCUGUCUCCACCCGAGACUCAGUGAAAUUGAACUCGCUGUGAAGAUGCAGUGUACCCGCGGCAAGACGGAAAGACCCCGUGAACCUUUACUAUAGCUUGACACUGAACAUUGAGCCUUGAUGUGUAGGAUAGGUGGGAGGCUUUGAAGUGUGGACGCCAGUCUGCAUGGAGCCGACCUUGAAAUACCACCCUUUAAUGUUUGAUGUUCUAACGUUGACCCGUGAUCCGGGUUGCGGACAGUGUCUGGUGGGUAGUUUGACUGGGGCGGUCUCCUCCUAAAGAGUAACGGAGGAGCACGAAGGUUGGCUAAUCCUGGUCGGACAUCAGGAGGUUAGUGCAAUGGCAUAAGCCAGCUUGACUGCGAGCGUGACGGCGCGAGCAGGUGCGAAAGCAGGUCAUAGUGAUCCGGUGGUUCUGAAUGGAAGGGCCAUCGCUCAACGGAUAAAAGGUACUCCGGGGAUAACAGGCUGAUACCGCCCAAGAGUUCAUAUCGACGGCGGUGUUUGGCACCUCGAUGUCGGCUCAUCACAUCCUGGGGCUGAAGUAGGUCCCAAGGGUAUGGCUGUUCGCCAUUUAAAGUGGUACGCGAGCUGGGUUUAGAACGUCGUGAGACAGUUCGGUCCCUAUCUGCCGUGGGCGCUGGAGAACUGAGGGGGGCUGCUCCUAGUACGAGAGGACCGGAGUGGACGCAUCACUGGUGUUCGGGUUGUCAUGCCAAUGGCACUGCCCGGUAGCUAAAUGCGGAAGAGAUAAGUGCUGAAAGCAUCUAAGCACGAAACUUGCCCCGAGAUGAGUUCUCCCUGACUCCUUGAGAGUCCUGAAGGAACGUUGAAGACGACGACGUUGAUAGGCCGGGUGUGUAAGCGCAGCGAUGCGUUGAGCUAACCGGUACUAAUGAACCGUGAGGCUUAACCUU